CAACAAGUCUUAUAGUACUUACGGGCAUUUUAAAUAAUAACUAGUGACUCUUUAAAGGAUCGACAAAAAUAAUUCCAACGCUUGUAAAAGCGUCAAGCAAAAAAUUAUUAAAUAAACAAGUCAGGAUAAAUAUAUCGACGCUUUAAUAUAGCAAUCACGACAAAUUUUUAUUAGUAUUUGAUUAAAAUAUAUUUAUUAUCGAUACUUAAUCAUGAUGUCGGCACAUACUAAAUAUUAAAAAUGUUAGAAUAAAAAGUCAUCUAAAAAAUAUUAUUUAAAAUAUAUUUUGUUAUAGUGAC
Molecule: long non-coding RNA, 299 nt
Filed under: Ananas comosus (pineapple)
Lineage: Eukaryota; Viridiplantae; Streptophyta; Magnoliopsida; Poales; Bromeliaceae
Description: long non-coding RNA (ACOM_LNC027409)
Source: RNAcentral